UGGGCAGAGGAGGCAGGGACA
Molecule: microRNA, 21 nt
Filed under: Mus musculus (house mouse)
Lineage: Eukaryota; Metazoa; Chordata; Mammalia; Rodentia; Muridae
Description: mmu-miR-5107-5p
Source: miRBase by way of RNAcentral